GGGCCGCGGCGCGAAGUCCUGCCUUUUCUUCGCGCUGGCGCCUGGCGGAACUUCGAGCACUCGGGGCGCGCCCGCCCGCGGCGGGGUGGCCCGGCCGCAGCAGGACACUCUCAGACAUCUUGUGAAAACAUCAGUGUCUUGCCGGGUUGCGGUGGCUCAUGCCUGAAAUCGUACCACUCUGGGAGGUCCAGACCACAAGUCUGAAUUCCGACGCCCCUCUGGAGUCUCCACGGAAGAACCUUCAUCCAUUCCAGCUUCUGGUAUGCUGGCAGUUGGCAUUCCCUGGUGUGCUGUCACAUUGCUCCAGUCUUUGCUGUGGUCACACGGCCUUCUCCUCUUCUGGAUUUUAGACUGCCAGCCUCCAGCACUAUGAUAGAAGAGCCUUGUAAGCUGUUCAGUCAGUGGUCAUCUGCUCCAGCAGCUACAUUUGCCAUGAAUGCUUUUUUGCAGCUGACCCUGGCCUCUCCCUGUAGGACACUGGCCUCUGGUACAGCACUGCACUUUGCCCCUGUGCUCAGAGAGCCUGACAAGCCAGACGAACAAGAAGUACCCACCCCAGGGGGAGCCCUGGCUGGCUGGCAGAGCAGGGCAGGAACAUUCCAGCCCCCUCACUCCAUCCAACAGCACUGAGUGGCUGUGCUGGGCACCCUUUCCAGGGGACUGUCUCAGGGAGGCUUGGAGGAAUCAAGCCUUUGUGCGGUGAGCUGCCCUGUGAAGGGGCCUGAAUGCCAGGAAACCAGGAGCUGCCUCUGGCCCCCGGCCCACCAGGAAGUGCAUCCUGCCAGUGAACACUGAGGCCGGGAAGCAUGUCCUGCAGCUGAUGGUGUUCCUGCCUUCUGACUUUAGCAGUGGACAGGAUAUUUAAGAACAUCUAUGCAUUCAGCUCAUCACUUCAUUUUUGAAUGGAUUUACUGACUUUUUUUUUUUUUUUAAACAGUCUUCCUUUGU
Long non-coding RNA from Otolemur garnettii (small-eared galago), 948 nucleotides. RefSeq lists it as uncharacterized. The transcript is spliced from 3 exons. Lineage: Eukaryota; Metazoa; Chordata; Mammalia; Primates; Galagidae. The record is from RefSeq and is a predicted model, not a curated record.